GACGAACGCUGGCGGCGUGCUUAACACAUGCAAGUCGAGCGGGGAUAAGUGAGAAGCUUGCUUUUGACUUAUUCUAGCGGCGGACGGGUGAGUAACGCGUGAGCAACCUUUCUCUCAGUGGGGAAUAACACAGGGAAACUUGUACUAAUACCGCAUAGGACCACAGCACCACAUGGUGCAGGGGUGAAAGAUUUAUCGCUGAGAGGUGGGCUCGCGUCUGAUUAGGUAGUUGGUGAGGUAACGGCCCACCAAGCCGACGAUCAGUAGCCGACCUGAGAGGGUGAUCGGCCACAUUGGGACUGAGACACGGCCCAAACUCCUACGGGAGGCAGCAGUGGGGAAUAUUGGGCAAUGGGCGCAAGCCUGACCCAGCAACGCCGCGUGAAGGAAGAAGGCUUUCGGGUUGUAAACUUCUUUUGUCAGGGAAGAGUAGAAGACUGUACCUGGCGAAUAAGCCAACGGCUAACUACGUG
Molecule: ribosomal RNA, 473 nt
Filed under: uncultured bacterium
Lineage: Bacteria
Description: bacterial SSU rRNA
Rfam family: Bacterial small subunit ribosomal RNA
Source: RNAcentral